UUGAACGCUGGCGGCAUGCCUUACACAUGCAAGUCGAACGGCAGCACGGGAGCAAUCCUGGUGGCGAGUGGCGAGCGGGUGAGUAAUAUAUCGGAACGUGCCCAGUCGUGGGGGAUAACGUAGAGAAAUUUACGCUAAUACCGCAUACGUCCUGAGGGAGAAAGCGGGGGACCGUAAGGCCUCGCGCGAUUGGAGCGGCCGAUGUCGGAUUAGCUAGUUGGUGGGGUAAAGGCCUACCAAGGCGACGAUCCGUAGCGGGUCUGAGAGGAUGAUCCGCCACACUGGGACUGAGACACGGCCCAGACUCCUACGGGAGGCAGCAGUGGGGAAUUUUGGACAAUGGGGGCAACCCUGAUCCAGCCAUGCCGCGUGAGUGAAGAAGGCCUUCGGGUUGUAAAGCUCUUUCAGACGGAAAGAAAACGCAUCGGUGAAUACCCGGUGUGGAUGACGGUACCGUAAGAAGAAGCACCGGCUAACUACGU
RNAcentral lists this ribosomal RNA (482 nucleotides) under uncultured bacterium. RNAcentral describes it as "bacterial SSU rRNA". It matches the Rfam family "Bacterial small subunit ribosomal RNA", at positions 29 to 506 of the family's 1533-position model. The record is from RNAcentral.